Molecule: long non-coding RNA, 880 nt
Filed under: Venturia canescens
Lineage: Eukaryota; Metazoa; Arthropoda; Insecta; Hymenoptera; Ichneumonidae
Description: uncharacterized LOC122418142, transcript variant X5
Source: RNAcentral
UUUGUGAUAACGGCAUGAGUCUACAUCGACUCCAAAAACUUCGCGCAUCGGACCAGUAGAUUUUCUAUUUCAAAUUUGUUCAUCUGGUCUUCCAUUUCUUCACAAUUACAACUGAUUAUCCGUCAGUCCUUCAGGGAACCCUCGCUGAUUAUGCGCCGGAUAAGCCACCAUACGUACCAUCUCUGGUAAUCGAAUGUAUAUACCAAGUUGAAGCCCGUGGUGUGGAGGAGAGAUUCUUGUACAGAAAAGACGGCGACAUUAUCGAAGCGAAACGAUUGGUUAGAGAGUACCUUGGAAAUAAAAAAGUGCCGGACUUGAGCAACAUCGAUACAGAAACAGUUACCUUGACUUUGAAACUAUUUUUGACUUCUUUGAGCGACGCACUCAUUACCGAUGGAGUUCGGGAUGAUUUUGUCGAAGCAUCUCGCAUCCUCGAUUCAAGAAAAAAGCACGAAGCACUUUGUGAUGCCAUGCGAAGCCUUCCACGGUUUAAUCGCGACACUCUCAAUUAUCUUCUCGAACAUUUGCAAAAUAUUAUUCAGGAAGGACCUAGCGACAUUUUUCAUCGUCUCGCCUACGUUUUUGGCCCCAUUGUGGUCGGUGGAAGCUCUCAAUAUCUAACCCCAUUUUUAUUUAUGAUUUUACGAGAAGAUCAAAUUGAGGUUUUUGAAAGUCUGUUGGAACUGGGAGAUUGCGAUGAUGGCUUCUGGGUGUAAUCUUUUUCUUUUGUGCUAAUAUAUUGUACCCAUUUGUAUGAGCCCAAAAGAUUUGACCAGAAUGUAUACCAAAUCUAAUUGCUAUGUGAUGCUGUGAAAACGCACACAAUUGUUUGCUGGUGCAUUGAGUGCAAAGAUGAAAUAAAGGAAUUCUUUGAAAUGAA